AAUUCAUGAAUAAAAAAUCCAUAGAAGCCUGGUAAUUUUUAGAGGACCUAGCAGAAAAGAGCCUACAAUGGGAGAUUACUAUAAAACCCGAUAGACAAACACCUUCGAGAGGGGGUGUAUAUCAAGUUCAACUUUUUCUAGUUGAAGAGGCUAAAUUUGCAUCUUUGAUCCAUAGGAUAGAGGCUCUAGAACUCAAGGAACACAUCCA
This 208-nucleotide long non-coding RNA is filed under the name Elaeis guineensis (African oil palm). RNAcentral's name for it is "long non-coding RNA (EGUI_LNC045665)". The record is from RNAcentral. Lineage: Eukaryota; Viridiplantae; Streptophyta; Magnoliopsida; Arecales; Arecaceae.